UUCCAACUGUUCCAAUGAGAAGAUGGAAGUUCACAGAUAUUAAGUAAUUUGCCCAAGGUCGCACAACAAAUAGUUGAUAAACCCAAGAUGUGAACCAGGCUUAUGACUCCAGAGGCCAAGAUUCUUCAGCAUACACUGCAGCCUCCGAAGGAACUAAGAAGCUGCAAGAGAAACUAGUAUUACUUUAUUCAGGAGAAAGUCUUUCACCCAUUUGCUUGAAAAUGUUCAGGAAAAACAGUGAAGAACAGCUUGGAUGUCUAGUGAAAUAAGAAACCUUCAAACAUCCUGGGGAGAACCUUUGCUUCAGAUUCUCAAUACUGAAGUUCAAGAUCAAGUGGGAUUUUGUACAGAAUGAAGAGUGCUUCUCCUCACCCCUGCUGUCAACUGCCUGCCAUUCCUGCAGGAAAACAGGGCUUUGCUAUACUUGCCCUUGUCCAAACUUAUCAGUUGCUGGUUGUCCAUUGGGAUAUAACAGACUCCCAACAGUCAUCACUCAGGGAGGUACAUUCCAGCCUAAGUGCCUUAGUUUGGAAUUUCUGGUUGUGGCAGAUUGUGUUUUCAAAAGAUGGCUGCCACAACACUUCCCAGUAGGUGCUUUUCUGUAAUGUGACCUUGCCACUCCCCCAUCAGGACAUACAGUCUCUAUCUCUACCUCUUUGACUCUGAUCAGAAUGGGCAAUUGCUUUGAACAACAGAACAGAACUGAACUGAUGUUGUGCCAGUUCUGGGAGGAGACUCAUUAGCCUCUGGGUUCUCACUUCUGCUUCUUGGAAGCAGCCACCUUGUACCAAGAACAGCUACCCUAAGAUCAUCAAUGUGAAGAAGCUCAAGCUAGCCACUUGGAAAAGGUGCAGAGAGAGAGCACAGUGCCAGCCAACUCCCCCCAACUCUCGACAUCCCAGCUCAGGCACCAGACACAUGAGUGGAGACAUUCUAGCCCCUGUAGAUACCAAAUAUGGGAGAACCAAGGCCCCAGAAUAGUAACCCCCAAUUGAACUGUGUCAGGCACCUCCGGGCAUUCAAGUCAACCCAAUUGAACCUUCCAACUCUGUGGAGCCAAGGGGAGCCAUCCCCACGGUUCCCUGUCUGAAUUCCUGACCUACACAACUAGGAGCAUAAGGAAGUGGUAGCCAUUUUCCAUCACUGAGUUUUGAGGAACUUGGUUACAAAGCAGUAGAUAAUUGGACCAGUUGCUGUCAUAAUAUUUGCAUCCUUCUUGUGGAAGUCUAAGGGUUAAGAAUCCAGGUGGGGGAGUUCCCACUAUGGCUCAGUGGUUAAUGAACCCGGCUAAUAUCCAUGAGGACAUGGGUUCAAUCCCUGGCCUCGCUCAGUGGGUUAAGGAUCUGGCGUCAAACUGUGGGGUAGAUGCUGCUUGGAUCCCAUGUUGUUGUGGCUGUGGUGUAGGCCACCAGCUACAGUUCUGAUUCGACCCCUAGCCUGAGAACCUCCAUAUGCUGAGGGUGCGGCCCUAAAAAGACAAAAAACAAACCACGUAGGAAACAAGAUUUCAAUGACCUCUUGAUUGUGGCAUCUAUGGAAAGUCAACUUUUAUAAAGCAAGUAUACCACAAAUAUUUUGGGUGGAUUUAGACUCUUAAGUUCAUAAUUAGAGCACCCAUUUAUUAAUGUGUCAGAAACAAUGGCAUUGGCACAAACCACUCAACAAAACCUUGCUGCAGUAAGAGUCCAGAAUUUCCACAGAGCUCUUAUAACAUUGGGGUUACCACUUGUCCUAAUUAAAAGCUUCUUAAAGGAUUCUUUCAAGGGUAAUCCACCAACACCCUUAAUUGCGGUAGGACACUUAGGCAGUGUUAGCGAUUUUGUUUGAUGCAUAUGACUACACGCUUACCUACAAGCUAGAAAGAAUAGGACCAGUCAUUGUCACUCUGGAUUACAUGUCUGUUACUGUUUAUCCCAGAUUAAUAAUAAAAAUAGCUAACAAUUAUAUGGUGCUUCCUAUGUGUCAUGUACUGUGGUAAGCACUUCAUGUAUACGCAUUCAUUUAAUCCAUGCAGAAACCCUAUGGGGUAGAUACUUCUGUUACCCUAACUCCAUGGAUCAAGAACCAUCCGCAAAGAAUGGAAGCAGUAUGCUCAGGAGUCUUGGUGACUUGGUGUUAAAUCCUCAAGCCAGGAUUCAAAUCCAGGCAAUCUGGUUCCAGAGUCUGUGCUCUUAACCACUACACCAAAGGCCCUUUUCACUCUUCUUCAAAGAGUUAGUGAUCAACUUGUUAUUACAGCCACACAUUAUGAAUCACUGACUUGAAGAUGCUGACUCUUUUAGUGGUUGAGAAUGAAUUUGAUAUUGAAAAGACUGCAAAAGUACAUCACAUGCUUCACUUCUCCCAACAACCUACAGAGGACACUUACCUUUGUCAAGACCUCCAUUGGUCUUCCUUACAGGGAGGGCAUUUUGCUUGCCUGAGACACUUCCUCAGAAUGGUCCAAAGUGCUCCUUAAACGCUUUGAUUCCUAAGUGCUCAGAUUCCUCACUCAUUUUCCCCCAAAAGAAUGAGUCUCUUCUAGGACAAAAUUUAAUACUACCACUGUAAUUGAGAGCCUUGUGUAACCUAAAAGUGAUCUCUAGGAAUUCCUAUUGUGGCUCAGCAGUAAUGAACCAGACUAGGAUCCGUGAGUAUGUAGGUUUGAUCCCUGGCCUCACUCAGUGGGUUAAGGAUCUGGCAUUGCCAUGAGCUGUGGUGUAGGUCGCAGAUGGGGCUCGGAUCCUGCAUUGCUAUGGCUGUGGCAUAGGCCAGCAGCUGCAGCUCCCAUUUGACCCUUAGCCUGGGAACUUCCCUAUGCCACAGGUACAAUCCUAAAAAGGGAAAGGAAAAAAAAAAUAGAGGAUCCAUUUGGAAUUGAUUCCACUUUAUUUAUUUUUAAAUUAGGAUAGGUUCCAAGUUCCUCUAGUAAUAAGUUCACUGGUUCCUUCGCAUAGUGCUCAGCUUUCUUACAUAGGAAAGAAAAGAGCUGGCAUUAGAACUACCCUGCCAGGAUUUGUGCCCUUCACUAUCUCUCCCACAGGUUGGGUCCCUCACAUAAAUGGCAUCCUCCUCUGUGAAGACUGUGGUGGGGAAAAAAACAAGCAUGGCAAACUGCUGCCAUAAUACGUACUAUACUGUCAUUAAUUUCCUAUGGAUAUAAAUGAGCAUAGGUAUAUCACCUUGUUGCUAAUUCAUGUGAAAUAGCAAUAGCUGAUAUUAAUUUUACAAAGCAACAUGAUAAACACAAUUUAUAUAUAUAUUUUUUUUUUCUUCUACUCACUGGAAUGGAAUCAGUUCAUUAUCUGUUGAUUUUUUUUUUUAAUUGCCAAGUUCUACCCUUGAUUUUUGUCUCCUCCAAAUAAGGAAGUGAGAGCUCAGCGUGUGAGAUCUCCAACAGUGGAAAUUAGAACCUGCCAGGACCCUGUCUUGCCCAAGUGUGCACUCUCCAGUAAACAGCCCCCCCCCCGCCCCCGAGAUCACUGCAGAUGUCAGAUCUCCAAAGGCAAGAGAAGGGCCAACUAAAAAUAGACAGUUUGAGGAAAAUGCCCUGGUUAAUCAGAUAACUGCUAUUGGAAACAUGCAGAUACUAAAACAUUUUAAAAGGUAGAAACACAACCAUUCACAGGGAAACCUUAAUGAUUUUAUUCACGUUGUAUUUGUUAAAGUGGAACUUCAAAAUCAUUUAUCUAUUGGGCCUUCAAUUAUAAACAAAAUUAGAUAUGUACGGUGUUUUCCACUCACUUUAGAAAUGUGACUAACCAGAGUUUAGAAAACGUGUUACAUGUAGUUAGCUGUUCUUGCUGAUUCAAAAUAAAGUCAUUAACGUCUAAGCAUUUAUCCCAUUUAUUCUAAAAUUAGAUUGUGGGCAUGAUUGCUUAGCUCUGUAAACAGCCUAAUGUUCUUGGAAUUAUAUAUCUAACAAGUAAAUGUAUGCUACGUAAACUAUAUCUCAGUAAUACAGUUAAAAAUAAAAAAUGAUCAAAUAAUCUAAUAAAAUAUGUUCUCAGACUAUAUCUUAAUAUGGAUUGACAACUGUGGAAUAUGUAACCAUGUGGCAUGUGGGUCUCUGUUUGUGUAAGGGACAGCCUGUCUGUCAUUGUCAAUGGUGGGAGCAUACACAGAGCACUCACAAGCUAGGAACCAAGCACCAGGAAGUAGGUGAUUGACUUGAGGACCGUGACAGAGGAAGUAAGGAAAAUGCACAGAGGGUUGGGAAAGUUCUAACGGGACUAAUGUUAAUAUUCACCGGUGAAAUUGGCCUAUAGUUUUCUUUUUUUGUGGAGUCUUUGUCUGGUUUUGGUACCAGGGUGAUGGUGGCCUCAUAGAAUGAGUUGGGGAGUAUCCCUUCCUCUGCAAUUUUUUGAAAUAGUUUCAGAAGGAGAGGUGUUAGCUCUUCUCUAAAUGAUAGAAUUCGCCUGUGAAGCCAUCUGGUCCUGGACUUUUGUUUGUUGGAAGUUUUUAAAUCACCAUUUCAAUUUCAGUUCUUGUGAUGUGUCCAUUCAUCUUUUCUAUUUCAUCUUGGUUUAGUCUUGGAAGAUUGUACUUUUCUAAGAAUUUGUCCAUUUCUUCUAGGUUUUCCAUUUUAUUGGCAUAUAUGAGCCAUUGUUUGUUUGGUAGCAUGUUGUUUUGUCUCCACGUGUUUGUGUUUUUUGCACUUUUCUUCUUGUUGUUGAUUUCCAGUCGUAUAGUGUUGUGGUCGGAAAAGAUGCUUGAUAUGAUUUUAAUUUUCUUAAAGUUACUGAGGUUGGAUUUGUAGCCCAGGAUAUGAUCAAUCUUAGAGAAUGUUCCAUGUGCACUUGAGAAGAAUGUGUAUUCUGUUGCUUUUGGAUGAAAUGUCCUAUAAAUAUCCCGUCACUGUCUUGAAUCCUCUCAGAAACCAGGCUUCGAUUGACUUCUUCAGUCAAGAUCACAGACACAGUGUUACUCCAGCCAUAGCUAGAAUUGAUGCUUUCUGCAAAAGUAUGUUUUCUCUGUGGGUGUUCUGUUCUCCUACCUCCGAGAACUCAACUGUUUUAUAAAUCACUAACCCCUUUAAGUUUAUCCUAAUCAACUCCAUGGAAAAAAUUAAAGAACAAAAUAUUGAGACUAAAAAUAAACUUACUUAUUCAUGAUUUUACUACAGUUCGCCAUCUUUACAAAUCUAUACUAGUAUUUCCAACAUGCUUGAGUUGGAGAAAGUACUGCAGCUAAAGAAAAGCAAUGCUGUGGUUCUGAAGGCCAUCAGACCAGUCCAAGCACUGUAUUCCCAAGAAAGGGAAAAUGCUCCUAUGCUUUGUCAUGUGUUAAUUAGGAGCUAAGGGCUCUUUCAAAUUUUUGCUUGGUGGCCCAGGCAUCUAAGUGAUUACCGCCUGGAUUUGAUGAGUCAGAGUCUAAAUAUUAAACAUGUCCCCUCAGGCAGUGUCUGAUUGUCAGAUCUGCCCUUUUGUGGCUAGAGACUCUACCCAUUUGGGAGGCUCACAUCCCCAGGCUCUUAUCCACCCUGCCAGCCCUCCUCUUUAAGGGAUUAUCCUCCACAGAGGUAGCCUCUGUCCUGGAACACCAGGGAAAUCUGCAAAUGUAUGAGCCAUGGAGAGAUUCUUAGGGACUGGGUGGGGGUGGGUGGUGACUGGGGCCAUGGGGAGGUGACCUGAUGGUUUGUCUCCAUUUCUCCUCCAGACUGCUUCUCCAUCUUCCUCCAUCCCACUCUCCACCCAGGAGCCCAAAUGCAUGGAUUGCACAACAGACUGACCCGCCCUCUUACUUCCGGUUUGAUUUGGCCAAUAGCAGAAAUUGGCAAGACACAGGAGGCCCAGAGGAGAGAGAGAUGGGAUCUUUAUUCCCCCAGCAACUCCUGGUCAUUCUCUCAUGGAAAAUGAGAAAUAGUCUAAUUAAUCACUAAUUACAAAUAUUAGUAAUGAAAUGACCAAGUAAAACAUUUUCACACAAUGAAACACUAUCUAGCAGUUAAAAGGGAAAAAGUAGACAGAUGUGUAUCAGAGUGAACACAUCUCAAAACACUUGUUGGAUGAAAAAAGCAAAUUCCAUAAUGGCACACUGUGCCGUUUAUGAAAAACAAAAUCCACAGAUAAUACGGUGUGUUUUGUGUUGUUUUUAAACAAACAUCUAUUUAGUAUUUAUUAUGAGCAAGGCACUACACCAAGCACUUAGCAAAUAUUAACUCAUUUAUUUUUCAGAGCAGGUCCCCGAGGGAGGCUCUGAUAUUGCAGAUUUCCUACAAAUGAGGAACUUGAGGCCCAGAAGGUUUACUUGUACAGGGUCAUACAGCUCGUAGGAAACACUUGGAUGCAAAUCAAGGUGGCCAGACACCACAGUCUCUGCUCCUAACCGUACUGCCUCCUAUGACUCUGGAGAAGCCAGAUGUUGGCCCCAGGAUUGGGAAAUGCCUAAAAAAAAAAAAAAAAAA
Molecule: long non-coding RNA, 6385 nt
Filed under: Sus scrofa (pig)
Lineage: Eukaryota; Metazoa; Chordata; Mammalia; Artiodactyla; Suidae
Description: lncRNA (ENSSSCG00050023523.1)
Source: RNAcentral